RNAcentral lists this unclassified non-coding RNA (352 nucleotides) under soil metagenome. RNAcentral's name for it is "partial contains 5.8S ribosomal RNA, internal transcribed spacer 2, and large subunit ribosomal RNA". The stretch from base 1 to 120 matches the Rfam family "5.8S ribosomal RNA", at positions 35 to 154 of the family's 154-position model. The record is from RNAcentral.
GAUGAAGAACGCAGCGAAAUGCGAUAAGUAGUGUGAAUUGCAGAAUUCAGUGAAUCAUCGAAUCUUUGAACGCACAUUGCGCCCCUUGGUAUUCCAUGGGGCAUGCCUGUUCGAGCGUCAUUACAACCCUCAGGCCCCCGGGCCUGGCGUUGGGGAUCGGCGGAGCCCCCCGUGGGCACACGCCGUCCCCCAAAUGCAGUGGCGGUCCCGCCGCAGCUUCCAUCGCGUAGUAGCUAACACCUCGCGACUGGAGAGCGGCGCGGCCACGCCGUAAAACACCCAACUCUUCUGAAGUUGACCUCGAAUCAGGUAGGAAUACCCGCUGAACUUAAGCAUAUCAAUAAGCGGAGGA